UAGUCCACGCUGUAAACGAUGAUCACUCGAUAUUGGCGAUAUACUGUCAGUGUCCAAGCGAAAGUGGUAAGUAUCCCACCUGGGGAGUACGUUCGCAAGAAUGAAACUCAAAGGAAUUGACGGGGGCCCGCACAAGCGGUGGAGCAUGUGGUUUAAUUCGAUGAUACGCGAGGAACCUUACCAGGGCUUAAAUGCAUAUUGACAGGGGUAGAGAUACCUUUUCCUUCGGGCAAUUUGCAAGGUGCUGCAUGGUUGUCGUCAGCUCGUGCCGUGAGGUGUCAGGUUAAGUCCUAUAACGAGCGCAACCCCUGCCGUUAGUUGCCAGCAUGUUAUGAUGGGGACUCUAACGGGACUGCCGGUGCAAACCGUGAGGAAGGUGGGGAUGACGUCAAAUCAUCACGGCCCUUACGUCCUGGGCCACACACGUGCUACAAUGGCCGGUACAGAGAGCAGCCAUGUCGCAAGGCAGAGCGAAUCUAUAAAGCCGGUCACAGUUC
Molecule: ribosomal RNA, 497 nt
Filed under: uncultured bacterium
Lineage: Bacteria
Description: bacterial SSU rRNA
Rfam family: Bacterial small subunit ribosomal RNA
Source: RNAcentral